AAGACCGUACUUUAUAGGAUCAUUUCUAUAGUAUGCGUCCCGUCUUUGUUCUCAAACAAAGACAACACUCACAACCACGAUGAGGAGAAAUAGUGUUUUCUUCUGAGCGGGAAGCAUGUUAUUGCUAACAUUGUCAUGGUGUUAAGCAAUAAUACUUGAUGACCGUUCUCACUGUAUUUAGCCAGUGAGAGGAAGAAAACGCAUUCUGAGUGGU
Xenia sp. Carnegie-2017 is the source of this 214-nucleotide small nucleolar RNA. RefSeq annotates it as small nucleolar RNA U3. The record is from RefSeq and is a predicted model, not a curated record. The transcript has a single exon. NCBI's taxonomy places the organism in Eukaryota, Metazoa, Cnidaria, Anthozoa, Malacalcyonacea, Xeniidae.